AUGCAGGCCUGGAGCUCCAUAUGGUCCCAUGUUUUCAGCCUCGCCCCGGCCCGGCCUAGCCUCCCCCGCUACCGGCGGCGCUGCUCCGUCGCGCACCUCGCCGAGCUCGCGCUGGAGCUGGCGCCGGGUGGAGCUCGCGCCAUGGCCUCCAUAUCCUCCCCUCGCGCUGGAGCAGGCGUCGGGUGCUCGCGCUGGACGAAAGAGGGUCCGAGAGCACCAUGGGCGCCUUCCUCCUCCACCUGCUGCCUGCUCGCCGUCGCGGCCAAUGCCGGCUUGCUGGUGGUGCUGUUGCUAGGGCUCAACAAGGACGGCCUCUACUUGCUGGACGCCAAGCGCGCGCUCACCACCUCCGCGGGCGCGGCCGCGCUCGCGGACUGGAACCCCCGCGGCGCCACGCCCUGCAGCUGGACGGGCGUCUGCUGUGUCGAAGGCCACGCCACGCCACACCCUGCAGCUCAAUGGCUUGUUCCCUCCCGUGCUCUGCCACACUUGGCCGACGAGCGCUGGUCGGCUGGUCUGGCUGCGGCGCGUACAGCCAUACCCAGCCGCUCCUCGCCGUCGCAAGGUGCUGCAGGCGGCUGCGCCGGCUCCGGGUGGCCGCCUCGUCGCGUCCGUCGAGUGGACGGCGACGACCCAGGCACGCGCCACGUCGGGCUGCUGCUGCGGCGGGCACGGCGACAAGCCGGGACCGAUCUGCGUCGGGCUGCUGCCUCUCGCCGAGCUGCUGCUGCGGUGGGCACGGCGUCGGGCCGUGGAUGGCGCGCGACACGGCCAACAGCUCGGACGGCGAGCUCCAUCCGCGGCUUCUCGCCGGCAGCCAUGGCCGCGCUCUGCUUUCUUGCCGCCCCUGCUGUGUUCGAUGAAAUGCCGAAACAGACAUCCUCCCAAAUAGGUCAGCACCGUUGGGUGCACCGCCCGUAUCCGCUUGUCCGGCGGUGUCGACUUGUCCGUUUGCCAACCCAAACGAAUAAAAGAAAAAACAAAUAG
This 987-nucleotide ribosomal RNA is filed under the name Triticum aestivum (bread wheat). RNAcentral's name for it is "partial small subunit ribosomal RNA". Lineage: Eukaryota; Viridiplantae; Streptophyta; Magnoliopsida; Poales; Poaceae. The record is from RNAcentral.